AUAAUAAUAGUGUAAAGGUAACAUAUUAAAUCAAUUAAAAGAUUUAAAGAUUCAUGUUCGAAUCAUGAUUAUAAGA
Non-coding RNA from Pachysolen tannophilus NRRL Y-2460, 76 nucleotides. NCBI's taxonomy places the organism in Eukaryota, Fungi, Ascomycota, Pichiomycetes, Alaninales, Pachysolenaceae. The record is from the annotation of a GenBank genome assembly.